This 449-nucleotide long non-coding RNA is filed under the name Junco hyemalis (dark-eyed junco). RNAcentral describes it as "lncRNA (ENSJHYG00000015792.1)". The record is from RNAcentral. Lineage: Eukaryota; Metazoa; Chordata; Aves; Passeriformes; Passerellidae.
AAAAGGAUUGAGAUGAACACACGGGAUGCCCUGAGAUCUUCAGAGAAGAACUUGUCUGCCCUGCUGAACCAGAUACAUAUGUGCAGGCUGAAUAAAUUUGACACCUUCCGGAAGAUUGUUGUUGAAGAGCUUGCCAGCCUUGAGAAGGAUACUCAAAUUCUGGCAGCUAUGGAGAAGGAAGCACUGGUGUGUACAGCUUCUUGUGUGCCAGCCCAAAAAGGUGCCUCUUCCCAGGUAACAGGGGGUUUCUUUGGGGUCUUUUUAGGAUUUCUGGAACGCGCAGCUGCUCAAACUGAAUACGUUCUACAACCAGCAGAAGGAAAGGUACAUCUCUGCCGGCUGUCCUGCAUGCUCACAAGUCCUCUGAUGGUCAUAGGGGGCACUGGUGGUACCCUUGCUGAUAGAUGGGAAAGGAUUCUAAACCUAGUAUGGCAUCUUCACUUGGUGAA